GAUGAAGAACGUAGCGAAAUGCGUUAAGUAAUGUGAAUUGCAGAAUUCAGUGAAUCAUCGAAUCUUUGAACGCACAUUGCGCCCGCCAGUAUUCUGGCGGGCAUGCCUGUUCGAGCGUCAUUUCAACCAUCAAGCCCCCGGCUUGUGUUGGGGACCUGCGGCUGCCGCAGGCCCUGAAAACCAGUGGCGGGCUCGCUAGUCACUCCGAGCGUAGUAAUACAUCUCGCUCAGGGCGUGCUGCGGGUUCCGGCCGUUAAAAAGCCUUAUUUACCCAAGGUUGACCUCGGAUCAGGUAGGAAGACCCGCUGAACUUAAGCAUAUCAAUAAGCGGAGGA
RNAcentral lists this unclassified non-coding RNA (335 nucleotides) under soil metagenome. RNAcentral describes it as "partial contains 5.8S ribosomal RNA, internal transcribed spacer 2, and large subunit ribosomal RNA". The stretch from base 1 to 120 matches the Rfam family "5.8S ribosomal RNA", at positions 35 to 154 of the family's 154-position model. The record is from RNAcentral.